This 4449-nucleotide ribosomal RNA is filed under the name Fimbriimonadales bacterium. RNAcentral's name for it is "23S ribosomal RNA". The stretch from base 1 to 3485 matches the Rfam family "Bacterial large subunit ribosomal RNA". The record is from RNAcentral. Lineage: Bacteria; Bacillati; Armatimonadota; Fimbriimonadia; Fimbriimonadales.
CAAGCUACUAAGGGCGCACGGUGGAUGCCUAGGAGCAAGGAGCCGAUGAAGGGCGUGGUCAGCUGCGAUAAGCUGCGGGGAGCCGCAAACGGGCGUUGAUCCGCAGAUGCCCGAAUGGGGAAACCCGGCCACCGAAUGGGUGGUCACCCACCGCUGAAUCCAUAGGCGGUGUGGAGGGAACCUGGGGAACUGAAACAUCUCAGUACCCAGAGGAAAAGAAAUCGAAUGAGAUUCCCUCAGUAGUGGCGAGCGAACGGGGAAGAGCCUAAACCAAUCGGGCGUGCCCGAUUGGGGUCGUGGGACUGACACAAGGGAGCUGCGCGUGUAGCAGAAUCGCCUGGAACGGCGAGCCAUAGAGGGUGACAGCCCCGUAUGCGAAACACGCAACGCCCCGUCAGGAUCCCGAGUAGCACGGGAUAAGUGGAGCCCUGUGCGAAUCUGCCCGGACCACCGGGUAAGGCUAAAUACUCCUUGCUACCGAUAGUGCAACCAGUACCGUGAGGGAAAGGUGAAAAGCACCCCGGCGAGGGGAGUGAAAAGAACCUGAAACCGUGCGCUUACAAGCAGUCGGAGGACUAUACCCCUCUGGGGGACAGUCUGACGGCGUGCCUUUUGCAGAAUGAGCCGGCGAGUUGUGCUCAGCGGCGAGGUUAAGCGUCUCAGACGCGGAGCCGUAGCGAAAGCGAGUCCUCACAGGGCGACAGAGUCGCUGGGUGCAGACCCGAAACCGCGUGAUCUAACCCUGGUCAGGCUGAAGCCGUGGUAACACACGGUGGAGGGCCGAACCGGUGACCGUUGAAAAGGUCUCGGAUGAACUGGGGUUAGUGUGGUGAAAUGCCAAUCGAACGCGGAGAUAGCUGGUUCUCCCCGAAAUGCAUUGAGGUGCAGCCUCACGCGCUAUGCUAUGCAGGUAGAGCCACUGGAUGGGCUAGGGGCCCCACCAGGUUACUGAACCCAACCAAACUCCGAAUGGCAUAGCAGGAAGCGUGGGAGUGAGACAGCGACGGAUGAGCGCCGUUGUCAAAAGGGUAAUAGCCCAGACCGCCCGCUAAGGUCCCUAAACACAGGCUAAGUGUUAAAGGAUGUAGGGUCGCGUAAACAACCAGGAGGUUGGCUUAGAAGCAGCCAUCCUUUAAACAGUGCGUAACAGCUGACUGGUCGAAUGUGACCCUGCGCCGACAAUGUAAGGGGGCUCAAGCCUGUUACCGAAGCGGCGGGUUCCCGCUAGGGAGCGGUAGGGGAGCGUUCUGCACGCAGUGAAGGUGGAGCGUAAGCACCGCUGGAGCGUGCAGAAGUGAGAAUGCCGGCACGAGUAGCGAGAAGACAGGUGAGAAUCCUGUCCGCCGAAAGCCUAAGGGUUCUUCAGGCAGGUUCGUCCGCUGAAGGUCAGGCGGUCCUAAGCCGAGGGCGAAAAGCCGUAGGCGAAGGGCAGUGGGUCAACAUUCCCACCCCAGGUGGCGGAGCAAAGCGGUGACGCUUCAGAAUCGGUUGGGCGCGGAGUUGGAAGGCCGCGCUCGCCCCGGCGGCAACUCCGGGGCGACGAAGGGAUCCCUCGGGUGAACGAAGCAACCGUGACUGGGGCCGAGAAAACCCGCGUAGCGUUGAAGCCAUCUGACCGUACCGCAAACCGACACAGGUAGGCGAGGCGAGGAGCCUCAGGCGCGCGAGAGAAGUCCCGCUAAGGAACUCGGCAAAUUGACCCCGUAACUUCGGGAGAAGGGGUGCCUCGAAAGAGGUCGCAGCAAAGAGGGCCCGGCGACUGUUUACCAAAAACACAGCUCUCUGCGAAGGGGAAACCCGAUGUAUAGGGGGCGACGCUUGGCCAAUGCCCGUAGGUUAAGGGGAGGGGUCAGCCGCAAGGUGCAGCCCCAAACUGAAGCCCGGGUGAAUGCCGGCCGUAACUCUAACGGUCCUAUGGUAGAUUCGCUGCCCCCCUCAUGGGUAACCAUGAGGUGCGCAUCUGGCUAUAUGCUGGAAAAUCCGAGUAUCCAGCGGUACUCGCAAGGAAACUCCUUUCUCGAGGCGAAAGGAAUCCCUGUGAGUAACAAUCCGACUGGUGCGGACAACCAGCAGGAAAGGCUAAUUCUUAUCGGAUGGGUCGUCGGGUUUGUAGACGGCGAGGGUUGCUUCUCAAUAGGACUCAUUCAUCAACCCGACCGAGGCAACCGCAAAGGCUACAAAACCCGAAUACAGGUGUUCCAUGAGUUCGCAGUCACGCAGAGCGCACGCAGCCUCGACGCUUUGCGACGACUGCAAAGCUUCUUCGGCGUCGGCUCCAUAAUCGUCAACCGACGCAGUGAUAACCAUAUAAGGAACCCCUGUACCGCUAUGUCGUGCGCAAGCGCGACGAACUUCUGCAAGUCAUCCUCCCGUUUUUCAGGCAGUACCCACUGCACACUGCAAAACAGGACGACUUCAAGAAGUUCGCACAAUGUGUGGAGCUGAUGGCAUCCAACUGUCACCUCACUCAAGAGGGGCUGGAGGCUAUCGCGCAGCUUGCGGCGACGAUGAAUCGGCGGAAAGACCGAUCCGAAAGGGUUAGAAUCCUCAGAGACCAUACGCCAGACACCUCGACGACGAGGUGAAGAGAUGGUCCCAUCUGCAUGGCGACAUGCAGGAGCCACUCUUGGACAAGGAGGAGAAGGCUCGCUCGGCAACGUUCGAGUAAGGUCAUAAGCGAAAUUCCUUGUCGCGUAAAUUGCGACCCGCACGAAAAGCGUAACGACUGGGCCACUGUCUCAGCGGGACACUCGGUGAAACUGUAGCACCCGUGAAGAUGCGGGUUACCUGCGGUAGGACGGAAAGACCCUAUGGAGCUUUACUACAGCUUGAGAUUGCAUUUCGGUAUGUCAUGUAGAGCGUAGGUGGGAGCUUCGGCGCCAAUGGAACACCACCCUUGACCUACUGAAAUGCUAACCUGCGCCGUAAUCCGGCGUGGAGACAGUCUUAGGCGGGUAGUUUGACUGGGGCGGUCACCUCCUAAAAGGUAACGGAGGUGUCCAAAGGUCCGCUCAGCGCGGUCGGAAAUCGCGCGUCGAGUGCAAGGGCAUAAGCGGGCUUGACUGUGAGACCCACGGGUCGAGCAGAUGCGAAAGCAGGGCCUAGUGACCCUCUGGCUGUGCGUGGGCACGCCAGGGUUCAACGGAUAAAAGCUACCCUAGGGAUAACAGGCUGAUCCUGCCCGAGCGUCCACAGCGACGGCGGGGUUUGGCACCUCGAUGUCGGCUCGUCGCAUCCUGGGGCUGAAUAGGGUCCCAAGGGUUGGGGGGUUCACCCAUUAAAGCGGCACGCGAGCUGGGUUCAGAACGUUAGCCCAAAAGGGCAUGGCGUCCCGCAGGAGCAAUCCUGCGGUGCCUACCGGCUCAUAUCGGUAGACCCCUCCUGCAGUUCGACCGAACACUGCAGAGGGCAAUACCGAGGGAAGAAUGGGAGCUGAAGAUGAAGGACACCUUGAUUGGUACAAUCUUAGGCGAUGGCUACUUGGAACCUCAUGGGCGUGGCGUGCGUCUGCAAGUGAUUCACGCCGAACGCUUCAAAGCCUAUGUGGAAUGGAAACGCCAAGAACUGGCGGAUCUCCAGCCAUCACCACUGCACUACCAAACCAAUCGAGGUUACCCAUACUGGCGUUUCGUAACACAGUGCCAUACCAUCCUGACCGAACUGCGAGCGUGUUUCUACGAAGGUAAUAGGAAGGUGAUACCCAUAAAUAUCACCGAACUGUUCACUUCGCCUAAAGCGCUGGCUGUAUGGUUUAUGGAUGAUGGCACUUGUGAUAAACGACAAGGCUCUAUCAAAUUCGAGACGCAGUGCUUUUCCGAGGCUGAAUUGGAACGCCUCUGCACUGCCCUCGAAAAGAAUUUUGGUUUAAGGGCCUGCAUUCAUCGCAGUCCCAAGCGGAAUGCACAUUGGCUCUACAUGGUCGUGAGACAAGCACGCUCCUUUGUCCAAAUUGUGGAGCCAUAUAUGGCGCCAGUCAUGCGGUACAAGCUUCCAUUCCCCGUAACGACUGAAGGCGAUAUGCCUGAGAUGGGUUGUCCUGCGCCUGAAGCGCAAAUCUAUGACACCCAUCAUACGCCGGCUCCUUCCAGUCCUUCAGGAAGGAUGAAGGUAUAGUCUACACCCUUGGAAACAAGGGAUGUAUGUGCGUGAGACAGUUCGGUCCCUAUCCACCGCAGGCGUAGGAGACUUGAGGGGAGCUGGCCCUAGUACGAGAGGACCGGGCUGGACUGACCUCUGGUGUACCAGUUGUUCCGCCAGGAGCAGACGCUGGGUAGCCAUGUCGGGAAGGGAUAAGCGCUGAAAGCAUCUAAGCGCCAAGCCCACCCCAAGAUAAGGUCUCCCAUCCGGACAACGGAGUAAGGUCCCCGGUAGAUGACCGGGUUGAUAGGCGGCGCGUGUAAGCGCAGUAAUGCGUUGAGCUGAGCCGUACUAAUUGACCGAGGGCUUGCC